ACUUAAAUUGAAGAGUUUGAUCAUGGCUCAGAUUGAACGCUGGCGGCAGGCCUAACACAUGCAAGUCGAGCGGUAGCACAGAGAGCUUGCUCUCGGGUGACGAGCGGCGGACGGGUGAGUAAUGUCUGGGAAACUGCCUG
Molecule: ribosomal RNA, 140 nt
Filed under: Klebsiella pneumoniae
Lineage: Bacteria; Pseudomonadati; Pseudomonadota; Gammaproteobacteria; Enterobacterales; Enterobacteriaceae
Description: partial 16S ribosomal RNA
Rfam family: Bacterial small subunit ribosomal RNA
Source: RNAcentral